Felis catus (domestic cat) is the source of this 4762-nucleotide RNA transcript. It is a transcript of the gene named protein NipSnap homolog 3A-like, with no coding region annotated. The transcript is spliced from 9 exons. NCBI's taxonomy places the organism in Eukaryota, Metazoa, Chordata, Mammalia, Carnivora, Felidae. The record is from RefSeq and is a predicted model, not a curated record.
UGCAGCCGCGGAGUCCCGCCCCAGCCUGCGUCUGCCAGUAGCUCGGUCGCUGCUCUUUUCCAGGCGGGUUAGCCCUACCAGGAGGAACCGAAGACAGAAUACUGGCUGGCUGGCCCUCCCAGCGCUCGCAGCCGCACCAUGCUCGUCCUCCGAAGCGGCCUGACUAGAGCUCUGGCUGCGCGGACGCUCGCGCCUCAGGUGCACUCAUCUUUUGCUACGGGCCCAAGACAAUAUGAUGGAACAUUCUAUGAAUUUCGUACUUAUUACUUUAAGCCCUCAAAGAUGAAUGAGUUUCUGGAAAACAUUAAGAAAAACAUACAUCUUCGGACAGCUCACUCUGAAUUGGUUGGAUCCUGGAGUGUAGAAUUUGGAGGCAAAAUGAAUAAAGUGUUUCAUAUUUGGAAGUAUGAUAAUUUUGCUCACCGAACUGAAGUUCGGAAAGCCCUGGCCAAAAAUAAAGAUUGGCAACAAUUUCUCAUUCCAAAUCUGGCUCUCAUAGAUGAACAAGAGUUUGAGAUUACUUACCUGGUGCCAUGGUGCAAAUUAGAAAAGCCUGCAAAAGAAGGAGUCUAUGAGCUGGUUAUUUUUCAGAUGAAACCAGGUGGGCCAGCUCUGUGGGGUGACGCAUUUAGAAGGGCACUUAACGCCCAUGUGGAUCUAGGCUACUCAAAACUAGUUGGAGUUUUCCACACAGAAUAUGGAGCACUCAACAGAGUUCAUGUUCUUUGGUGGAAUGAGAGUGCAGACAGUCGUGCAGCUGGGAGACAUCAGUCUCAUGAGGAUCCCAGAGUUGUGGCAGCUGUUCGGGAGAGUGUCAAUUACCUCGUGUCUCAACAGAAUAUGCUUCUGCUUCCUACGUCAUUUUCACCUUUGAAAUAGUUUUCCACUGAAAGACAAAGCAUUGCAUUAACUGCUAUAAGAUGUGUCUGCUAAUGGUGCUUAAAUUCUCCCAAGAGAUUCUUUUAUUUGGAAGAUGGAAAGCAUCUCCUCUGGUAACCGUGGUAUCUCCAGUUAACAUCUUGAAAGUUGAUGAUUUCCCAGCCCCAUUAACUCCCAGAAGUCCAAAGCACUGAAACAUAUUGGAGACCUCUAAGGAACUGCUGAAUAUCCUCCAGGGGAUCAGAGUGCCAAAUCUUUCAAAGGCGUCUGAAGUAGCAGCUGAGCACCAAGUAAUCCCCACACCCCAGCCUCCUGGGAUCUGGGAUACCUGGAUCAAAGUCAUCCUUCUGAACUACUGGAGUCCAGAAAAUAUAAAAGCAAGCACAGGAAGAGAUCAACUUACCUAAACUCAUUCACCCAGAUCUUGUUCUUUAAACUGCAGAAGCCAAAGAAAAAGAAACCAAAAUCAGUGUGAAGAAACAUUGAUCCUAUUCCUGAUGAUACAAAAGAAGUUACUAUCUACCUGAGGAAAUAAACAGAGACAAAGAAUCCGGUGAUCAGGCUGGUGUUGGGGGGUGGUACCCACGGAAGGAUGCCCCAGUCACUGUGUCUUUUUCUCCCCAUCUUAAAACCAUGUUAUUUAUAUGAAAAUCAUGCUUUGGGUUAAACCAAUUCAAAAGCCACCUUACAAAGAUGUGACUGAACCAAAAGAUGUUUUUAAAUUCUUUUUAAGUAGGCUCUACACCCAAAGUGGGGUUCAAACUCAUGACCUUGAUAUCAAGAGUCGAAUGUUCUAUACCACCUGAGCCAGAUAGGCACCCUGAAACUUACUGAAUUCAGGUAAUAUGUUAACUAUGGAGGACAUGGAAAGGUUAUGCCUCGUUCUUGGAAACUCGCAGUGAUUAUCAUUCAAGCACACCCCAGCCCUGUCAUUUAAAGUCACUGAGAAUACCUAAUAGAGAGGCUCAACAAACCAAAAGGAAACCAGAAUGAACAUUUCCUGGGCAUCAAGUACUCAAUGCUGUGCAGUGAUGCCCCAGGAACGUUCAUGGCUCUCUCAAGGUUCCACAGCCAGGUCAGACCAUUGAGUUGGCCCAGGGCUCACUUCAUAGCACUACAUAUUACCAAAAUUAUCAUGCAUUCCAUUCAGGAGAGGCCCUUUAUAUGUAUCAUGUCAUUUCAUCUGCACCACAGAAUAGUAAGAGGACAGUUAAGGACAACUGAUUGCUCCUGGUAAAACAGAUAAUAAGUAGAAUUCAAAUUUGAAUCCAGAUUUUUUGUUGUUGACAAAUAACCUGGUGCAAAUUUAAGGUGUAUAACAAUUUGAUCUGACGUACUAUGUAUUACAAUAUGAUUACCAUGGUGCUGUUAGCUAAUACCUCCAUCAUGUCCUCUAACUAUUUUCUCGUUUUUGUGGUAAGCACAUUUUUAAGAUCUAGUUGCUUCAUAACUUGGAAGUAUAGAAUACAGUAUUUUUAACUACAAUCAACAGUGUACAUUUGAUCUCAAGAACUUUUCUAAUGCACAGCACUGUGAUUAUGCUGGAAAGCCCUAACAUUGAUGCUAACACUAAAAGUUCAUAAUACUUACCUUUUCUAGCUUAGGAAAAUAUCCUAAACUCCGAAAAGCCAACAUCAGCCAAAAUUUGAUGUCUUCAAUUCCCCUCCCCCCACACACUCAGCCUGCUAUUUUUAGACCUAUAAUUCCCCUACCCAGGAAGGGCCAGGUUUAGUAAAUAAUGACCUUUUGGCUAUGAUCUGCACAUAGGUCUUCACAAGAUAAUCCGAAAUGUUUCUUCCCGUCAGGUUCUGAAGGAUGUCUGCAGUGUUCUGUUUCCUCUGUCAUCACAGAAAAACCAAGCACAAGUGUCUUUAUGGACCACAAUUGGAACAGAAACAAAAAAUCAAAGACUACAGUGACACAUGUCCCUCAAACAUGGACCACAGUAUGACCAGACCCCAGGCGCUGCCAUCAUCCAAACACCAAGGCCUAGUCCAUUCUGCCCUCAGCAUUGGCCAUUCCCUUCUGCCAAGCUAACAUGUUCCCAGGAAAUUAUUCUGAACUGCUAAACAAUAGACAGUAGAAUAUGAUUCUGUAUAGUCACAAAGGUAUUUAGGGGAGCAGUAUCAUUGACUCUAUGCCCAGUGAAUUCUCCUGUUCACUGGAGUUAUACUGAUGAAUAGAUGAGCUGUUAUUUUAGGGAGAAGUAACCAGGAUACCUUUAAGUUCUCACACCCAUUUGAAAUCACUUGUCCUCACCCUGCAACCUAGAUACUGAUACAGCAGCAGAGGGAGAUCACAAACAAGCCUCUUCCUGAAAUCGUUCUCAGAAAAAAGGCUCAGGACUGCUCCCCACACUCACAGUCUCAGAGAAUGUCAGAAUUUUAAGACCCACAGAAGCUUCAUGGGCCAGCCUCUCUAAUUCAGAGGUGGGGAAACAGGUCCAGGCACUGAGGGGCCUGUCCCAGGUCACCAGCUCAUCUGUGGCAGAACCAGGGAUGAAGCCCAGCCUGUCAUACUAUAUGUUCUGUCAACACUACCUCAGCAGGAGAAGCCAGAGUGUGUCUUCCACAGCCCACUGAUCCCGAGCAUUGGGUUCUGGCUUUAAUUCGAACAGAAUUAAGAUCAAGACUGAAAGACAACCCCCUGCAUGACUGGUCAUCCAUUCCUUCUUCCUAACGGAAGCGCCCCAGCCCACUCUGCACCGCCAUCUGCUCAGUCACACUGAGACUGACUCACUUGUGGAGGAGGCAGCCCUCCUGCCCCCAGGGGACACACAGGCAGCAUCUUCUUGAUUUUGUCGCUGCUACACUGGCAGGCGGGUGAGGGGUUCUCCAUCGUCCAGUUGCCACUUUGGAAGAGUUUCGUGAUGGUCUGGGGAACCGGGGCGGUGGUCCACUCUUCUUCCCCCACUGAGCAAGGCAUGUCUCUGCAGAGGGAAGACAUCAAAGGUAGCAUCACCCGAGAGGGCCUGGCCAUUCCUGGUGCCUCAGGAGCACAGAUCAAUCAAUAACAACCACAAACAUGCAUCUAUCCCCUCACCAUUUGUGUGAUCUCCCCACAGACCUGUGAGCCGCAAACUUCCUUUGCAGUUAAGGAUGAUGGAACACAAAGAGGCCCAAAAUGCUCACCUACCAAACUCCAGUCAGUGCAAUCCACCAGCAUUUGGUCUCCUGCCCCUGUGUUCACUCAACGAAUAUUCACUGAGCAUCUACGUGCCAGACACUGUUCGGCACAUUUGAGAGUCCGGGGUGAACAAGACAAACUCUCUGCCUGCAUGGAGCUUGCAUCCCUGUGCAGGAAUUUGGCAAUAAACAAAUGUCACCUAGCCAAAAAUAAAGCAAAAUAAGAGGGAAACGGGGGGAAACAGGGCUGCUUCUCCCAAAGAGGGUGAUACUUCUUCCAAGGCAUACACGAUUAGAAAGAGAAGCCAGGAAAAGAUUUGGGGAGAAAGAGCACUAUAAGCAAGGGCAAUAGAAAGUGAGAAAAUGAGCUUUCCAUGUUUGAGGAACAGCAGGAAGGCAGUGUGGCUGGGGCGAGAUGAGCUAGGAGGGAGAAAGUGGAAGAGGAGGGGUGGAGGGAGGCAGGUGCCAGAUGAUCAGGUCAGGGAAGGAGUCUGCAUGUUAUGCUCAAUGUGCUGAAAAUCUGGUGCAGAAUGGAAAGACUCACUUUAUGUCUUAAAAUGAGUAGAGAAUUGGGGUUGGGGAGGGAUGGGGAGAGGGUGCUCAGUGCAUGAAGAGCUAGGUUGUUUGCAAGCACCCUGGGUGACAAAAGACAAGGCCUUUGUGCCUGACUUGAGCUCUGAAUCCCUGUGGACCACCAACAAGACACUUGCCCUCUUGGGUCUUAUCUUCUCCACUAGUAAAAUAAAAGUACAAAAUGA